Molecule: unclassified non-coding RNA, 262 nt
Filed under: Hevea brasiliensis (rubber tree)
Lineage: Eukaryota; Viridiplantae; Streptophyta; Magnoliopsida; Malpighiales; Euphorbiaceae
Source: RNAcentral
GAUUUGGGCCGGCAGCGGAAAUGGCAAGAAGCUCAUGGGACUUGAAUCCCUCUGCAGAAGAGUGGGUAAGGAUAUUUAGAUGGGUUAGAGAAGCAGCAAUGGAAGGGUAUGCUUCGAGGGCUGGUGGCAGAUCUUCUGUCCAGCAGUAGAAAUGGGACAGAUCAAGCCAAGCAAGUGAACUGUUAUGCUCAAACAGUGCAACAAAUUCAGAACCCGGAGCCGUAGGUGAUCUCUGGUGCCAGCGAACGAGCUUAACCUUGCU